This 782-nucleotide long non-coding RNA is filed under the name Solanum tuberosum (potato). RNAcentral describes it as "long non-coding RNA (STUB_LNC002814)". Lineage: Eukaryota; Viridiplantae; Streptophyta; Magnoliopsida; Solanales; Solanaceae. The record is from RNAcentral.
CUACCGAAAAUUGUCGGCAUCGUGAGAUUGGUUUGUAUUUUGCUGUUGUAUGUCCCUCUUUUGUCUUGGCUUGAUUUUCGUAGCAAUACUCUAGUUAGCUUGGGUUUAUGUUCAUUUCUUUUCAAUGAAAGUAUUUAAUUUGCCUUGUUAUUAAUGACCUGAUGUAUAUUUCAUUUUGUUUAAACACUGUUUUCAAAUCAUUCGUCACUAUUUAGUAACUUAAUUUGAUCAAGUCCAUGUUAUGAUUCAUGCCCCACUGCCUCAAUUGUAUGUCAUGGUUGCUAUAUACAAUAUAUAUGUUUCCAGCACCUAUAAUUGCUCUUAAAUCAAUACAUGCUUGAUUUGUUACUUGCAGACGCUUAACUUAAUAUUUAAUGCAUUUGUUCUAGUUCAUUAGAUGCUUCUUGUAAUGUGUCUCUCACCAUAGCCGUAAAUGAUUAUGAAUUGUGUAAAUUACCAUUCUAAUUCUUAUCGUUUUAUUUUUCUUGCAUGAAUCUCUUGUCUUGAGUCCAAUUCGGGACUCUCUCUUUCACUCCUUGUGUCUCGAUCUGGGUUGAAACCCGACCCUCCUCUUUUUUAUCGAGCCGGCCUUCAUCAUUUGUUCGAGUUUUGGAAGCCGAAACAUGCCUUGGAAGGUUAAAGAAUAGGUUGUAUACAUGUCGUAUACAACUGAUAUAUAAGCCAAAAACGUGAAAAUACAGAGAUAAGGUAAAAUACAGGUGUUCGGAAGCAGGAGAUACAUGGAAAGAGCUGAUAUACAUGCCGAUAUACACUGAUAUACA